This 292-nucleotide ribosomal RNA is filed under the name uncultured bacterium. Its description in RNAcentral is "partial 16S ribosomal RNA". It matches the Rfam family "Bacterial small subunit ribosomal RNA", at positions 505 to 796 of the family's 1533-position model. The record is from RNAcentral.
GUGCCAGCAGCCGCGGUAAUACAGAGGUCCCGAGCGUUGUUCGGAUUCACUGGGCGUAAAGGGUGCGUAGGUGGUCGGGUAAGUCCGAGGUGAAAUCUCCAAGCUUAACUUGGAAACUGCCUUGGAUACUAUUCGGCUGGAGGGUUGGAGGGGGGACUGGAAUACUUGGUGUAGCAGUGAAAUGCGUAGAUAUCAAGUGGAACACCAGUGGCGAAGGCGAGUCCCUGGACAACUCCUGACACUGAGGCACGAAAGCUAGGGGAGCAAACAGGAUUAGAUACCCUGGUAGUCC